RNAcentral lists this ribosomal RNA (177 nucleotides) under uncultured bacterium. RNAcentral describes it as "partial 16S ribosomal RNA". It matches the Rfam family "Bacterial small subunit ribosomal RNA", at positions 355 to 540 of the family's 1533-position model. The record is from RNAcentral.
UGGGGAAUAUUGCACAAUGGGCGGAAGCCUGAUGCAGCAACGCCGCGUGCGGGAUGACGGCCUUCGGGUUGUAAACCGCUUUCGCCUGUGACGAAGCGUGAGUGACGGUAAUGGGUAAAGAAGCACCGGCUAACUACGUGCCAGCAGCCGCGGUAAUAAUCACUAGUGAAUUCGCGG